UCACGGUAUCAAGCGUGGCUUGUUGUUGGGCCCUUUGUCACCGGGUGACAGGUCCGAAAGACAAUGACCGGUGGGAACAGACUCCACAUGCAACGAGCUGACCACAGCACGCAUCUGGCAGUUGUGUGACCCGGUGUGACCCCCCUUCUUUCUCCA
Molecule: unclassified non-coding RNA, 156 nt
Filed under: uncultured Chaetothyriales
Lineage: Eukaryota; Fungi; Ascomycota; Eurotiomycetes; Chaetothyriales
Description: sequence contains ITS2
Source: RNAcentral